RNAcentral lists this ribosomal RNA (394 nucleotides) under uncultured microorganism. RNAcentral's name for it is "bacterial SSU rRNA". It matches the Rfam family "Archaeal small subunit ribosomal RNA", at positions 330 to 725 of the family's 1478-position model. The record is from RNAcentral.
GCGCAGUCGCGAAACCUCCGCAAUGCGGGAAACCGCGACGGGGUCAGCCGGAGUGCUCGCGCAUCGCGCGGGCUGUCGGGGUGCCUAAAAAGCACCCCAUAGCAAGGGCCGGGCAAGGCCGGUGGCAGCCGCCGCGGUAAUACCGGCGGCCCGAGUGGCGGCCACUUUUAUUGGGCCUAAAGCGUCCGUAGCCGGGCUGGUAAGUCCUCCGGGGAAAUCUGGCGGCUUAACCGUCAGACUGCCGGAGGAUACUGCCAGCCUAGGGGACCGGGAGAGGCCGGGGGUAUUCCCGGGGUAGGGGUGAAAUCCUGUAAUCCCGGGAGGACCACCUGUGGCGAAGGCGCCCGGCUGGAACGGGUCCGACGGUGAGGGACGAAGGCCAGGGGAGCGAACC